UAUGUAUUGUUAAAAGGCAUCUAAACUAGAUGACACAUGAUCAUCCACGUUUAAUUUGCGUAAUUGCACGCGCAUUUCCCGCUGGAGAGCUGCACAGGUGCAGCCGUGUCCAUAUGUGACAUAAAACAACGCACCCGAUUACCCAAACCGUUCUCGCGGAAGAGGAAAAGAACAAAACUCACCCGGUGCAGAACAACCCAAAAAUAACCCCUCCCUCUUAUUAUUCUUCUGUCUCUUCGUCCGUGAGUGCGUUGGGAGAGAGUGGCGGCAGAGUAGAGGAGGCGCCGAGGCGGCGGAAGCGGAGGGGAGGGGAGGGUGGAGUCGCGGCGACGGAGACAGACGAGGCGGAGCGAGAGGAGGCAGGGAAGUGCGCGGUGCGGCGGAGGUGUCCCAGGUCGGAGGUGGCCUCGGCUAGAGAGGCGACUCGUGCGGGGCGCGGCGGCAACGACGGUUCCCGAGGAGCCCCGGCAACGUCGGCCCCUCCGCCGGACGUCCUCCCGGGAUUUACGCCGACUGCUGAGGUAGGGGCCAGCGUACACCGCCGUCGGUCGGGUCGAGGCGGAGAAGGUCGGGUAGAAGAACCCGUAGUAACCAUCACUUCUUCCUGAGAACGUCGACGCUUUAUAAUCUUCUCCUUUUAGAAUACCAAACUUCCCAAGUCUAGGUAUUAGACUAUUAUAAUCCUGGGAACUAGGAAGUUGGUAAUACUCUAAAGUUCCGUCUAUCACGUUGAACAUGACAAAUGGAACUAAUUUAGUUACGGAAGACAUCGAAUUCCAAAUUAAUCGUCUGAUGAUUACGAAACUAUAAGAGGAAAGACUUAAGGUAUGAACCAUGUUGUUACAAGGAGUGGGCCAGUGGGGUUUGACCACCUUAUAUUCUUGCUAGCCUUGACCCUGUGUUACAGGCCACUGAUAGAACAAAAGGGACCUCCGCCCUGAGUUAAGUUUAUACUACAACGUUCUAUGUAUGUCAAACAUCUUGUCCACGAUGCACUGAAGUGACCAGCGUAAUAACUGACUCUAAAGCUCAUGCUGUUGAAGUGUUUUUACCGUGUUUUUUAGGACACGAUGUUUCCGAUCGAAGUAUCACAGGUACCGUACAACUACCGAUCGAGAUGACGCAGAUGUGGCACCUCGAGCUUCCGACGACGAUAAUGAAGAACGCGGUAAUAAACCGUUGGAUGACGACGUCAGAGGUCUCUACUGUGGUAAUCAUACCCAGUCAACGUAACCACUGCGACUCGUGUUUCGAUACUUAGGUGAGGGAAAACGAGACCUGACACAAACCAAUACCGCAUUUGACCGAUAGAGCUGUUGUAAAUACGACUUCAAUAGCUGGGAGGUUUCUUACCCUACAAUCUACAGUAUCUUGAACAGACACCACAAUAGUUCGUAAGUGCCUUAGGUUUACAGUACCAAAGAUCUUUACCCGCACUCGAUAACCUUACGGGGUACACAAACCAAGGGUACAUAGGAGGUUAAGUAGUCACGAGGUUACAGGUACGAUAAACAAGACUUACGUUCGGUUCCCAAGUAUUUACGAAACCUCUUCCAACCGCGGAGAGAUCUCCAAGACAUGUUCAAGGUCUUGAAACCUACGAACCCUUAUAUAGGAAUAAUAACGUUCAACUUUGUACUUAGUCUCACAGUUAUGUCUGGUAUAUGACCGGGUGUACGUCCAAAAUUUAAAAACACCUAAAUACACUACCUUAGAACUGUACAGCUCUUACGCAGCUCUUUUACGUUGUACUGAACAACAAACUUCAAUGUUGGAAUGUCCCCGUAGCUGAGUUUAAACGUUGCUGCUUAAAAUAUGGUACGAACACAUCGAGUCAGACACCGCCCGCUCCGCACCCUCCACUGCUACUGCUUACUAUACCACCAGUCGUCUAUUUUCUUCGGCAAGUAGAGGUAACGGGUCAACCCCGGAGAAUCCCCUGAUUAGAUCGUAGCCCGCAAUGUCCUCCUCUCUGCGAGAGUACCUAAUCCUACAACGUGUAGUAACUGCCCAGUAAGGUACCUAAUCCUACAACGUGUAGUAGCUGCCCAGUAAGGUACCUAAUCCUACAACGUGUAGUAGCUGCCCAGUAAGGCGUACGACGAGAACAACUAAACAAGAACUGUAUAGGAGACACCACAACAAGGAAAACUUAGUGAACCACCAAAUAUAAUCGUUCAUGAUAGUAAACCAGUGAAAACUUGGUGGCUAUAACAUACGCUAGUCAGGAGAUUUGUUAUUUUGAUAACGAAAACACAUCAUAUAUACUACAGUAAUAAUAAGAAAAUUCCGCCUAGGUAAGAAACUUACACAACAUAUCGAGACAGAAUAACAAGGGCAGUGGUUUAAAAUAUAACAACAUGAAACUCAGAUUACGUU
RNAcentral lists this ribosomal RNA (2379 nucleotides) under Triticum aestivum (bread wheat). RNAcentral describes it as "partial small subunit ribosomal RNA". Lineage: Eukaryota; Viridiplantae; Streptophyta; Magnoliopsida; Poales; Poaceae. The record is from RNAcentral.